Molecule: ribosomal RNA, 492 nt
Filed under: uncultured bacterium
Lineage: Bacteria
Description: partial 16S ribosomal RNA
Rfam family: Bacterial small subunit ribosomal RNA
Source: RNAcentral
AGUGAACGCUGGCGGUAGGCCUAACACAUGCAAGUCGAACGGCAGCACAGUAAGAGCUUGCUCUUACGGGUGGCGAGUGGCGGGCGGGUGAGGAAUACAUCGGAAUCUACUUUUUCGUGGGGGAUAACGUAGGGAAACUUACGCUAAUACCGCAUACGACCUACGGGUGAAAGCAGGGGAUCUUCGGACCUUGCGCGAUUGAAUGAGCCGAUGUGGGAUUAGCUAGUUGGCGGGGUAAAGGCCCACCAAGGCGACGAUCCGUAGCUGGUCUGAGAGGAUGAUCAGCCACACUGGAACUGAGACACGGUCCAGACUCCUACGGGAGGCAGCAGUGGGGAAUAUUGGACAAUGGGCGCAAGCCUGAUCCAGCCAUACCGCGUGGGUGAAGAAGGCCUUCGGGUUGUAAAGCCCUUUUGUUGGGAAAGAAAAGCAGCAGGUUAAUACCCCGCUGUUCUGACGGUACCCAAAGAAUAAGCACCGGCUAACUUCGUG